CCAGAUUUUUUUUUUAUGUAAUUGACAUUUUGGAGCCAUGGGAUAAAUACGCAUGCAUGUACAGGGUAGCUGGCACAUUGGGGAAAUCGCAGCAUCGAUAGAUACAGGUGUCGUCAGCUUUACUGCGAUGAAUUGACAGAGUUAGACUCUUCCAUGCACUGACAAACCACAUAACAUGCAGCCACGAUUCAUUGGUCUCCACUCUAUGUGUGGGUGAUUCGACUUGAGCGAACAGCCUAUCUACCCAUAGAAGAAGUUAAGAUCGAUUCAAUUUGCUAUUCUCACAUGUUGAGUAAUUUUCGGACCAGGCUACAUCCAUGUGUAGCUUAUUGAUAUUUUUUCUAUGGAUAAACAGCAUGGUUUUGUGUUGGACCAAUUAUAGUCAUAAAGGGAUUAUAGUCAAUCAAUAUAACGCUACCAGUUCAGCUUAGAAUUUGUCUAUUGUACAAGGUGCUGCUGAGGGGGAUAGUGAAUAACUAUUACACUGAUCUUUAUCAACUUUGGGAUACGCAGUCACUGAGUUUAAGGAAUUUAACCUCACUUUAAGUGGUGAAUCUUAACUGGACACGCAUAUCUUCACACCUCGACUCGAGUGGAAACUGAGAGAGACGCUGGACAUUCGGACGCCGGUUGAUAAUGUGGCCGUUCCGAGAAAGAAGACUUUUUCAGAUAUGUCUUCUUCUUAUCUCCGUUGACAGUCUCCAUUCGACACUGAAUAUACCAAUUAUGGGACUAAGAAAGAGUUUCAAGGCGUGGACUGCUGAGAUCAGCAGAAGGAUAUAUGACCUCAGUGUACAAGCAACUGGACUACCAAAACUGAGAAAGUGUUAUGAAGAUGAGGCCAAGGUAGAAAUUAUGAAUGGCACCAAAAUACUAGACACAGUGUCCACAAAUAUGGAGAAAAUGCUACGGAAGAAGGAAGACGCAAUAAGCAGACUUGUUGAAGCAGCAGAAGAAGCCAAUAAACAGCAUACGUUUGAUCCAGAGAUAGAUCUUCAUUAUUACAAUGCCAAAAGAAUCAAUGAAAUAAAUGAAAAAACUGGAAACUAUGUCACAACGGAGCCGGGUGCCACCAUGCCUCCAACAAUGGUGGAUGACGAAAAUGAACAUUUGCAAUUUAACCCCGAAUGGCUCAAUCUGACUGUUCACGAAGAUGAGCAUUUCAAUUAUGUUCGAGUAAAUCUAAACUACAGCACUGUGCAUGUUCCAACAGAUGUUUAUGACAGAUAUCCAAAUGUCAGCAAUGGCAUUUCCUGGUCGGAAAAAUUAGAUCCAGUUUUUAAAAAGAACUAUGAAAUAGACCCCACGUUAACCUGGCAGUACUUUGGGAGUGCGUCGGGAUUUUUUCGAACAUUUCCAGGUUAUAAAUGGCCACCGCCUCCACUAGGUGUAGAUUUGUUUGACUGUCGAACCAGAGAGUGGUACAUCCAGGCGGCAGCGUCUCCCAAGGAUAUCGUAAUUCUGUUGGACUCCAGUGGCAGUAUGACUGGGCUGAGGAGCAAAAUAGCGCGAACUACAAUUAAUAAAAUUCUUGACACUCUGAGUGAUGAUGACUAUUUCAACAUUAUAAGUUAUUCUACACAACCAUUAUAUAUUGAUAAAUGUUCUAAUAGAACUUUAAUACAAGCAAACAUAAAAAAUAAAGAGAGAUUAAAAGAAGCAGUAAAGGAUGUGGAAAUAAAAAAAAUAGCCCACUUGGAUCGAGCCUUGGAGGAGGCAUUUGCCUUGCUGGAUGUGGCCAGAUCUGAUGGAGAAGGGACCCAGUGCAACCAGGCCAUUAUGAUCAUAUCUGACGGCUCUCCUGACACAUACGGGGAGGUGUUUGAGAAAUGGAACAGGCCAAAUAUCACAGUACGGGUGUUUACCUAUCUGAUUGGCAGAGAAGUGAAAGAUUCCAGAGAAGUCAGUUUAAUAGCAUGUGCCAAUAAAGGCUAUUAUACUCAUAUAUCCACACUGGCUGAUGUGCAGGAAAAUGUUCAGAAAUAUGUGAAUGUAUUGAGCAGACCAAUGGUAAUGCAGAGGGCCAGAUACAGUGUGUGGACCAGUGUUUAUCUGGACAUAGCUGAGCCAUGGUUGAAGUUACGAUCGCAGGUGACAGACGGAUGGGUGCGCCGUCCGUUGUCGGGAGAGCACACUCAUUUAGAAAAGGGUCUGCAGUUAAUGACGUCUGUGGCACAACCAGUGUUUGACCUGAAGAAUGAAACUGUGCAGCAGGGUAAUCUGCUUGGAGUAAUGGGGACAGAUGUCCCCCUGGUGGAAUUACAAAGGCUUAUUCCCCUAUACAAGCUGGGGACUAAUGGCUAUGCAUUUGCCAUCACUAACAAUGGCUACAUUUUGUUCCAUCCUGACUUCAGACCUUUGAAAUGGGAUGGAAAAGCGAAACAUAACUAUAAUAUGGUGGACUUGGAAGACGUAGAAUUUCCAGAGGGCGACAAUGACUUGGUACAAAGGCUGAGGACUGAAAUGAUUGACCAGCAAACAGGGGAUAUGAAAAUACCCAUCAAGAUGAUGACAAGUAAUAUGACCAGAGUAGCUCUUAGGACUAACAGAUAUUUCUAUACCCCCUUGGAGCACACGCCGUUUUCCCUGGGUCUAGUUUUCCCAGAUAAGUAUGGACUGUAUGACAUCACAAACAAAAUCAACAUUACAAGCAUGGAUGAAAGCAUGCUGAAUAAUAAAGAACUGAGGCUGGCACCAUGGGCCGAAUUCUGUCAUUUGACCACAGAGGAAACCAAGCAGGAUCGCUUCGAGGUGUUCAAGAGGUAUAUCGACAAGUGGAGAAAUGAGAAAGAAGACAGAGAAUUUGAACAGAGAUGUGAUGAGGAGUUGAUGUCCCGUAUCCUCUAUGAUAUCUCUGUCACCCAUCCCAUGCUGGCCAUUGAAAUUGGAUGUAACGGCUGGAACCUUACCAAAGAACCAGGAGUUGAGCUUGUUUUCAUGGGCACAAGACACGGUGUCACAAGAUUUUAUAAAAAUACAGAACAGUUAACUGAUGAAUAUUUUGUACAAACCCAGAUAAACACAAUAAAAGAUCUGUAUUAUGAGAGAGCAGCAGAUGCAGGAAAUGACACAUUUGUAUUUUCUGUCCCGCGCAAUGCUAGUCUCUUUCCACCAAAUGAAACUGUGAUAACGGGGAGUACAGGCAUCUUCCUUCACCCGCCAAAAACCUCUUCAGGUUCUGGAGGACCAAAUCCAAAAAACCUCGCCAACCAAACCAACCAGGCAUUGGCAGCUGUGAUAGGGCUGCAGAUCAAACUGCAGCUUUUCCGGGAAAUUAUGAUGAACUCCACCGCGGAGUGCUUUGAGUCUCCUGGAACCAGCAAUGUCACGUGCAACUCCUCUUGUGCCAAUGAUACACUCGACUGUUUUCUGAUUGAUGAAAAUGGGUUCAUCGUUGUAUCAGAGAAUGAAAACAUUUCUGGCCUUUUCCUGGGAGAGGUGGAUGGUCCACUCAUGAAUAAAUUGUCUGAACAGAUCAGAAGUCAGGCCAGUACAGACGAAAAUGUUUUUAAAACUGUGGAUAUUAUAGAUUACCAAGCAAUAUGUGAUGUGGCUGAAAAUACUAGCGGUAGCUUUGCCACCAGGUUGAUGAAUCCAUUUUGGAGCGUGAUCACUGCCACCAAGUGGAUUCUAAAUGAACUAGCAAUACUUUUCUUAGAAUUUAAUUUAUAUAAUUGGUGGAAUUUUAGUGGAACAUCUGCCAGAAGUGCUAGUAUCCCACCGCAAAGGAACGACAUUGUAAUUAACAACACUAACAUUAAGCUUGCACAAGUUAGUAGCAUUGUCGACGCAGACACUGCAGGAAAACAGAACUAUACUCCCACCACACCAAAGAGAACUGUGCAGCUAGAUCCAAACAAUGUUUCAUAUGUUAUGUCAGAAGUAACAACUGUUCCCAUGCCUGUAACACAAGCAUCAGAUUUUAAAACCACAAAAGCAAAAGCCAGAACAACAACAAUGAAACCAACAAGUGUUGAACCCACCACCACCAAAACAACUACAACAACAACACAGAAACCAACAACAAGUACAAAGUCGCAGGUGAAACCCCCACAGCACAACUCUACAUGGACAACCCUUGUGGGUGCACUCAGGUACUCCCCCCUCUGAAACCCACUACCCUAAGCUCUGAAGAAAGUGAAAGUGAAACUGGCAUGGCGGACAUGCAUACACCUAAUAUAACUACCACCGAGAUACCCAUUUUGAUAGGAGAGACCACACAUGCACCUCAACCUGCUCACAUCCCUCAGCAGCCAAUAACUCGACCAUGUGACCGUGUUAGCACUCUUACCACGCUAAACCUUCCUGAUCAGUACGAUCCU
RNAcentral lists this unclassified non-coding RNA (4322 nucleotides) under Lingula anatina. Its description in RNAcentral is "voltage-dependent calcium channel subunit alpha- 2/delta-3, transcript variant X2". The record is from RNAcentral. Lineage: Eukaryota; Metazoa; Brachiopoda; Lingulata; Lingulida; Lingulidae.